This 497-nucleotide ribosomal RNA is filed under the name uncultured bacterium. RNAcentral's name for it is "partial 16S ribosomal RNA". It matches the Rfam family "Bacterial small subunit ribosomal RNA", at positions 28 to 507 of the family's 1533-position model. The record is from RNAcentral.
GAUGAACGCUGGCGGCGUGCCUAAUACAUGCAAGUCGAGCGAACAGACGAGGAGCUUGCUCCUCUGACGUUAGCGGCGGACGGGUGAGUAACACGUGGAUAACCUACCUAUAAGACUGGGAUAACUUCGGGAAACCGGAGCUAAUACCGGAUAAUAUAUUGAACCGCAUGGUUCAAUAGUGAAAGACGGUUUUGCUGUCACUUAUAGAUGGAUCCGCGCCGCAUUAGCUAGUUGGUAAGGUAACGGCUUACCAAGGCAACGAUGCGUAGCCGACCUGAGAGGGUGAUCGGCCACACUGGAACUGAGACACGGUCCAGACUCCUACGGGAGGCAGCAGUAGGGAAUCUUCCGCAAUGGGCGAAAGCCUGACGGUGCAACGCCGCGUGAGUGAUGAAGGUCUUCGGAUCGUAAAACUCUGUUAUUAGGGAAGAACAAAUGUGUAAGUGACUAUGCACGUCUUGACGGUACCUAAUCAGAAAGCCACGGCUAACUACGUG